Non-coding RNA from Durio zibethinus, 2532 nucleotides. Lineage: Eukaryota; Viridiplantae; Streptophyta; Magnoliopsida; Malvales; Malvaceae. The record is from RefSeq and is a predicted model, not a curated record.
UUUGGGCUCAAGCCCAUCAAGCCGUUUUAAGCCCUUCUCUUAAAACCUAACCAAAAUCCCAAUCCCUCGCUAGCUCACUCUUCCAAAAUUACGGUAGCGAAAUGGCAAUUCUAGUCUGGACGCCAUCUCCAACGGCAUUGCCAAUGGCGGUUAGAGCUUUAUGGGACACCCAACAGAGACUCUCUUUCGACCCCAACGCUCCACGAAAGCUGAAACCCAACCCUAACCCUAACCUUAACCUUAAACCCUCACCGCCCGUCACCACCGACCCAUCGGUUUUCGAUAUCCUCAAGCGUCCCAUUCAAGAAGUAGCGCCCGUAAAGGUAGAUUUGGAUGAUUCUUAUUUGGGAUAUGAGAGAUGGUUACCAACAGCACCAAAAGUGGAGAAGCCUCGAUCAGUUUUAAAUGCGGCAACAUUAGCUUAUAUUGGUGAUUGAUUUAUGAGCUUUAUGCGCGGAGGCAUUUUUGGCUUCCACCGCCAAGUAUUGAAGGAUAUAAUGAUCGCGUGACCUCAGUAGCACGUUGUGAGGCACAAGUAUGAUGUUUUCCAGAGUAUAUAUUAAUGUUUGAGGGGUGUUUUGGUUGUCUGUGCAUGUUGAUAUUUCAUUGCUUCUUUUGCUUCUUUUAGGAUGCAUUGCUACAGGAACUUCUUAAUGAUAGUUUCUUAUCUAAUGGUGAAGGGUUAAUGGAAAUGUUUUCAUACUUUUAUCCUUCUUUUCCAUAUUUCUUUGUUUGUAUGUUUAUGCAUGCCCGCAAAACAAUCAUGCUUCUUUAAAAAUUUGGAAUUUCAGACUUUGACAUUUUGAGUAGCACUCAAGCUGUUCAAUAACUAAUACAUCAAGAACAACUAAAAACAAAAGAACAGCUCUAGUUGCUUGAUUAUUUAUUAGAAUGGAUGAGAUUGGUUGGUGUAGACAUCAAAUGUCUUUGGCUUAAAACGGGAUAAAAGCUUGAUAAGUUAUCUACUCAGAAACUUUAUGAGCUAUGUGGCAUUGAGAAGUAGAUUGAUUUCCUACAGGUGUUUGUAUAGCAAUGUGCUUUCUUAUUAAUAUGAUAUAUGCAAGUAAAUCUACCUCAAGAUAGAUUGGGAUUUCUAAAGCUACUAGUGUAUGCUAAAAAACGAUUGGUUGAAAGUCUUCUAGAAAAGUCAGACAUUUGCAAUGCCUCCUACGAAUGACUUAUAAUAAACAUUCUAAUGACUAUUAAGUUCCUUCCUUUUAUAAUAAUAACCCCUCAUUUGGAACAAUUGUUUGAUUAUUUGUUGUUCAAGAAAGCAAUAUUCUGGAUAAUCUCAGAUAAUACUAUGAUUUUAAUACAACUUUUAUAUUAGUUGCAUGCGAUUAGGAGCUUAUCUACAUAUCUAGUAAAUGGUGCUCUAUUAAGCUCAAGCAGAAACUCUUCAAACGCAUGAUGAAUAGUUAAGAUUUAAGAGAUAUGAUAUAAUUUUUUAUUUGUUUCUUAUAUGUUCUAAAUGGUGAUAAGACCAGAAGAAGGCUUGACAUUUAAGGCAGUUAAGUGAUUGCAUGAUAUGGUACAAUGUGUAGUAGUAAUGACAUGACUAGAAGUCUAGAAGUAAUAAUAAAUAAUGCUUCUAAUAGGUACACCAACCAGUAGUUACAUUGCAUACGGAGAGGCAUCAAGAUUCAAGAGACGGGAUGUUCUUCGAUGGGGAAAGAAUAUUAGUUCAGCUAAAUCACGGACAAAAAAGUGUGCAGGUGCAGCAGUUUAUAAUACAGCAUCUUCACUUGAAACACUAAUUGGUUUAUCUCUACCUUACAAAUGUGAGUAGCUUGGAAAAACUCAUGCUAAAGCUCGGAUUUUCCACUGGAGCAUCUGCAGAAAUGAUAUUGAAGGAAGUAAAUGGUCCUUCUUUUUAGGUUUCGGGAGAAAGGUUAUGUAACAGCUUACAUGUUGCAAGUGAGGUGUAAAAUUAUUAGGAAGUUCAACAACAGACAUUAGUCUUUUUCUGAUCUAAUUCUUUGACUGCUUGCUUUCAACUUUUACCGAUUGCCUGCUGUAACAAAAUAGCCCUUGCAAACAGACUGCAAAUUUUCAACUCAGGCUUCUUAUCUUUUUCAUUAUCGUCUGAUUCACGGAUUGUCUUUAUUUUCUUCCCUUAAAACAGCUGCAAAACCUGUACGGUAGAUAAAGUUGGUGUGGAACAUCUCUUGUUUCCUACAAGCAGGCUCGAGUAGAAAGAGCCGCCGCAUCAUUUGUUCCCUUCUGGGUUUGGGCCUUGCAAAGUUUCAAGAUGUUGCCUCUUGUAUUAUUUUUAGACACCAUAUUUGUGGUGCUUUUCCCAUUUUGCUUCUGCAUAUAUUAAUUGUUUGUAUCGGCUUUCAUUUGUGAAAUUAAAGUAAACAUAUAUAAAUACAAUUAUACAAAGAACCAUAGAAAAGCACGAGCAAUUGCUUCUACAAAGCAUGCGCAAUGUAUCAAUCAAGUAUCAAAUAAUUAGUGCUUUGUAAAUGGCCAUUGGCCAAGUAUCAACCAAGUUUUCUAUUAUACACGAUUUGUCAAUUCAAAAUAUGA